This 487-nucleotide ribosomal RNA is filed under the name uncultured bacterium. RNAcentral's name for it is "bacterial SSU rRNA". It matches the Rfam family "Bacterial small subunit ribosomal RNA", at positions 28 to 507 of the family's 1533-position model. The record is from RNAcentral.
GAUGAACGCUAGCGGCAGGCUUAACACAUGCAAGUCGAGGGGCAGCGCGGAGUAGCAAUACUCUGGCGGCGACCGGCGGAAGGGUGCGUAACACGUGAGCGACUUGCCCGUCACAGGGAGAUAACCGCUGGAAACGGCGACUAAUAUCCCAUAUGAUGGCGAUCUGCAUGGAUUGUCAUUGAAAGAUUCAUCGGUGGCGGAUAGGCUCGCGGGGCAUUAGCUAGACGGCGGGGCAACGGCCCACCGUGGCGACGAUGCCUAGGGGUUCUGAGAGGAAGGUCCCCCACAUUGGAACUGAGACACGGUCCAAACUCCUACGGGAGGCAGCAGUGAGGAAUAUUGGUCAAUGGGCGUAAGCCUGAACCAGCCAAGUAGCGUGAGGGAAGACUGCCCUACGGGUUGUAAACUGCUUUUAGUUGGGAAUAAAAGGCGGUACGUGUACCGCGUAUUGUAUGUACCAUCAGAAAAAGGACCGGCUAAUUCCGUG